AGGGUUUGAUCCUGGCUCAGAGUGAACGCUGGCGGCGUGGAUUAGGCAUGCAAGUCGAGCGAUCCUUUAGAUUGAAUUUAAUGAAUUCUGUGAUGUUCGCUUCGGUGAAUGGAUCAGUUGGAUUUUCUGGAUGUCUUGUGGAUAGCGGCAAAAGGGUUAGUAACACGUGGGUAACUUGCCCAGCAGUGAGGGAUAGCUACGGGAAACCGUAGGUAAUACCUCGUAUAAUGUUUUUACGGUAGUAUUAAUAUAAAAGAUGGGGAUCUUAGGACCUGUCGCUGUUGGAGAGGCCCGCGGGGUAUCAGCUAGUUGGUGUAGGUAAAGGCUCACCAAGGCAAUGACGCCUAGCAGGCAUUAGUGUGUGUUCUGCAACACCGGAACUGAGACACUGUCCGGACUCCUACGGGAGGCUGCAGUCGAGAAUAUUUCCCAAUGCGCGAAAGCGUGAGGAUGCGACGCCGCGUGAAGGAUGAAGGCUUUCGGGUCGUAAACUUCUUUUGUAUAGGAAGAAAGCUUGUUAGUUAAUAACUAUCAAGCCUGACGUUACUUUACGAAUAAGCAACGGCUAAAUACGUGCCAGCAGCCGCGGUAAUACGUAUGUUGCAAGCGUUACUCGGACUUACUGGGUGUAAAGGGUCCGCAGACGGUCAAGUAAGUGAGAGGUGAAAUCCUAUGGCUCAACCAUAGAACUGCCCCUCAUACUGCUAGACUAGAGGAUGUAAGAGGAAAGUGGAACUGCAUGUGUAAAGGUGAAAUUUGUGGAUAUAUGCAGGAACGCCAAUGGUGAAGACAACUUUCUGGUGCAUUUCUGACGUUCAGGGACGAAAGCGUGGGUAGCAAACAGGAUUAGAUACCCUGGUAGUCCACGCUGUAAACGAUGAUCACUGGCUGUCUCUGCCUUGUGCAGGAGUGGCGAAGCUAACGCGUUAAGUGAUCCACCUGGGGACUACGGUCGCAAGACUAAAACUCAAAGGAAUUGACGGGGGCCCGCACAAGCGGUGGAACAUGUGGUUUAAUUCGAUGCUACGCGAGGAACCUUACCAAGACUUGACAUGUAAGAAGUAGGAGCUUGAAAGAGCAACCACCGGUAUCCAAUCCGGAACUUAUACAGGUGCUGCAUGGUUGUCGUCAGCUCGUGCCGUGAGGUGUCGCCUUAAGUGGCUUAACGAGCGCAACCCUCGCUGUUAGUUGCUAAUCCACUAUUAGUGGAUGCACUCUAGCGGGACUGCCCGUGUUAAACGGGAGGAAGGUGAGGACGACGUCAAAUCAGCAUGGCCCUUAUGUCUUGGGCUACACACGUGUUACAAUGCAUGGUACAACGGGAGGCUAAGCCGCGAGGUGGAGCAAAUCCCUAAAAGCCAUGCCCAGUUCGGAUUGUAGGCUGCAACUCGCCUGCAUGAAGUUGGAAUCGCUAGUAAUGGCGCAUCAGCAACGGCGCCGUGAAUACGUUCCCGGGCCUUGUACACACCGCCCGUCAAGCGCCGAAAGUGAGGAGCGCCCGAAGACUUCUACUAACUAGGGGUUCACGGUGAAUUUCGUAAUUGGUGCUAAGUCGUAACAAGGUA
RNAcentral lists this ribosomal RNA (1565 nucleotides) under metagenome. Its description in RNAcentral is "bacterial SSU rRNA". It matches the Rfam family "Bacterial small subunit ribosomal RNA". The record is from RNAcentral.